This is a non-coding RNA of Myodes glareolus (Bank vole), 2554 nucleotides long. The record is from RefSeq and is a predicted model, not a curated record. NCBI's taxonomy places the organism in Eukaryota, Metazoa, Chordata, Mammalia, Rodentia, Cricetidae.
UUUAUUCAGCUGAUGAUGACUCCAAAGGCAAAGAGUUCCUGGAAGGUAACCCGUGGUGCUUCACGAUGUAUGGAUCAAGAAGCCCAGAGAACUACCACAACAGGUGGUUAAACAAUGGCCAUCCUCCCUGGACUCCACACAUCUCCUGACAGGGCUGCAGCAGCAUGUGGGAACAGUUCAGCUGUGAAACCAGACAAGGACAUUAAGAAAGAAAAGAAGGGCCUGCUGAAGCUCAUCUCUGGUGCCUCCACCAAAUGUGAGCACCCCUGCCAGCCUCACCUAGUUUGGACAUGGAGCUGGGUGCAGGUCAGGUGACCUGCAGGAAGCACUGGGUCCUGAGUUGUUGCUAGUAGGUAAUCACAGCUGGUCUGGCUCCUACCCCACAGAUGGAGAUGGUCCAGUGGUCUCAGGGACAGUAGCCACAGCCCAAGAUGUUUUCAUAGCAAGGCAAGCUCCCUGGACUCCUCAGUGCCCACUGCUCCAGCACCUCAGUGGGACUGCUCCUCCCUGGUUCCUGUCAUGCUUGAGGCCAGACCUGUUAACUGUGAAAGGCACAGGGUGGUGCUUUCCUAUCCUCCUCAGAGUGAGGCAGAGCUUGAACUUGAAGAAUAUAUUGUGUUCUUUCAUAAAAAUGAGAGUAUGGUGGUUCAAAGGCACAUUACAAAGAAUUGGAAAGAUCGGCCUUUUGGAGGGGAGCUUUGUGAAAAUAUACGAGAAGAUUCCAUGUCAAGAAAGGGUAACAUCACAUCACGUGAGUAAAGAGCACAGAGGAGGGUCAUAGUAAGAGUACAGAUGUGGAAUUCCAGAUCUCCAGGAGCUGAGCAGAGGUGGGCACCUGACUCCAGAACCCGGGCCUGGCUACCCCUGUGGGCAGAGUGAAAGAGGUACCUUGUGUGGUUUCUGUCCCUCUGGAUUCUGAUGUGUGAAGUGUGCCUUGUACUGUUUAAUGAACUACACAGAGAAAUGCCUAUAUUAUGAAGAUGUAUAACUAAAACGGACAAUUGUUUACAAGGCUUAACUGAUUUAUUUGCCUUUUUAAAACUUAAACUUUCUUGUAAUUGCAAAUUCUUUGAAUUUUGAUUUUUAAAAAUUACUAAUUUAUGAAAUGAUGGCUAAGAAUAAGUUAGAUUUUUCUCCUGUUGACGUGAAGAGAUUCUUUUUGGAAUAGUCUGUUCCUUCUCCUCUUCUUGCUGCCCUCCUCCCCUGGUUAUAUUUUGCUUCUUUUAGGCAAAAAUGCCAGUUUCCCAAACAGACAACUGAAUCGGUACCAACAGGGAUCUGGGGCAGGGAGACAGUGGCUCCUGAAGAGAGGAGUCAGUGGGCCCCAUCUUUCUGUUUUGAUCAGAAAUCCGCCCAAAGACCUAAUCCUCGAUUUUACAUUGUGGAUGUUUCAUUUUUCCUAGAAUGAAGUGGGUAAAGUAAGAAGAAAAAUUAAGCACAGCCAUUGACUAAAAAUACAUCAUUGCUAACACAAGCAGCUCACUGCUUUGGUUGAAAAGGAAGAGAAAUUGAAGUUGUAGCUGCUGUGUGUGAAUGACUUGGAAACACAAUUCCCAUUUUACCCUCAAGUGAUCUGCCUGCUCACAACACAGUAAAAAUUGUAGAGACAGUGGGGGUAAGAGAUGCAGUCGUAUUGAAGUCAAAGGCUGUAAAGAACAAGAGAAAGUUUCCAUUCAUCCACUGUGAGUCCCCUGCCAUCUUGCAUGUGUUACUGGAUUUACACAGUGAUGUGGACGGUGCACGGUGUGUAUAUGCCAUUGCCAUUAUUACUCAGAAUUGAUAGAUACAGGAGGUUUAAACAAUAAACAGCAUUCUCUUCUCUACUCCACCACCAUUACUGACCAAGAUAUCCUGAGUGUGCUUGCUCUGUCUCUGAAGCCAUGUAUUAGCCAGCACACAAGUCGUUAGUUAAAAGGCCGACUGAUGUGCCAGGCAAGUUUAUCCAGGAGACCACUGGCUUCUGUGACUGUGGUGAAGCUCUUCAGGACUUGCUGGGAGUGUCUGUACCCACACCUUGCAAAUGCUGCAGGGUCGAACCAAGUCCAUCUCUUUAUAGAAAUCCUGUGACAUCUGGUGGUGUCUUCUUCCAGUUUCAUCUCAACCAAGGGUCUGGGUAGUCCUGGAAACAGCUGGAGGUAGACAUCCUGGGAGUGAAUGAGACUGUUCCACGGUUCUCUUGUGGACAGCUGAGAGCACCAUUUGAAUUUCUUCUCAUCUCCACUGGAAUGUUCUGCUUUGAUCUUCAUUAUCUACAAUGUUCUUUUCUUCUGAUCUCAAUCUGAUAUUGAGACCACAGCCCAAUCAGUUUUUUGUAUUUUCCCUGGCUGUAAGCCCACUGGAACUUCUAUUUCCUUCAUUUUAUUAUACUGGCAACCCACCAUGAUGUGCAGAAGAAACUUCAGGAUGAGAUUGACAGAGCUCUGCCCAGUAUGAUAAAUGUCUACCAUGAAGGGAAGCCAGGACAGAAGCUCAGAAAGAAACCUGGAGGCAGGAACAGAAGCAGAGGUCAUGGAGGAACACUGCAUAUUGGAUUGCUCCUCAUGGGUUGCCCAGC